RNAcentral lists this ribosomal RNA (254 nucleotides) under uncultured bacterium. Its description in RNAcentral is "partial 16S ribosomal RNA". It matches the Rfam family "Bacterial small subunit ribosomal RNA", at positions 524 to 776 of the family's 1533-position model. The record is from RNAcentral.
UACGGGGGGGGGCAAGCGUUGUUCGGAAUUACUGGGCGUAAAGGGCUCGUAGGUGGCCAACUAAGUCAGACGUGAAAUCCCUCGGCUUAACCGGGGAACUGCGUCUGAUACUGGAUGGCUAGAGAUUGGGAGAGGGAUGCGGAAUUCCAGGUGUAGCGGUGAAAUGCGUAGAUAUCUGGAGGAACACCGGUGGCGAAGGCGGGUCUCUGGGCAGUAACUGACGCUGAGGAGCGAAAGCGUGGGGAGCGAACAGG